AGCAGCAAUGAGCCCUUAUUAAAGGCACUUUAGGCUUGGUAGUUAUGUAAUAAGUAGGAUACUGUAGGAUGGUUGCUGUAAUUCUCCCCUUUGCUGGAAAAGAGAAUGCUGGUUUAAUAGCUUAUCUACUAAAUGGCUUCUGGAGUAGAAAAGAAAAUAUACUGCUGUCCAUGAGGGAUAAUUUUUUGUGUUCUAAGGGAGGAAUGUUUUUCUGGCCUUCUAGAUACGUCAUGAAGAGGAAGAAGGGAAAAAGAGACCACAAAUAAUGCUCUAUCUUUAAUGCCCCGAUUUAGCAAGGAUUCUUACCUGUAGUGACCAGAUCUAAGGAGAAGCCAUCAUACCUCCGCAGACAUCCUCAUGGAGUAUCCUGAUGUUUAGUCCAUAUCAGCCUAUGCUAAAAUAGAAGAAAAACCACUAGCUAGUUCCACAAAUUGCUUACAUCAAAUAAAAGAGAACUCUUAUUGGAUGUUUACAAAUUUACACAGCAGUUCAUUCGCUUGUCUUGUUUUAUACAAUGAUACAUAUGCAGAGAUGAAGCGUGCGUAUGUGUUUGUAUAUACACACACACACAAUUACCAGCUAUUUGCCCUAACUGUAAUUUCUACAUACCUCCAGUAUAACUUUGCAAUGCUAUGCCUACUACAUGAUGGUUUGGGACAGAGAGGCACAUAGGUACUACAGUG
Molecule: long non-coding RNA, 683 nt
Organism: Dermochelys coriacea (leatherback sea turtle)
Lineage: Eukaryota; Metazoa; Chordata; Testudines; Dermochelyidae
Exons: 3
Source: RefSeq, a predicted model, not a curated record